CAAGAACUUCACAGCCUGCAUCUCUCAGCUGCUGACUUUGCUCUCUGGACCAGUCUUCUGACUCUAUCAAUCUUUGGGCAGGAUGAAGUUUGCCAUGAUCUUCCUCGUGUUGACGCUGGUCGUCCUCAUGACUGAACCUGGAGAGUGCAUCCAGUUUCUGCGUCUGGGUAGAAGAUGGACAGAUUUCAAGCGUGGUAUGGACUCGUCUGGAGGGCCUGCAGAACAAGAAGUUGUCCAACAGGAUGCUGAAGCCUAUAAUCGCUGAAUCGAGAGAUCACACCAAGAUGCAGUUUUCAAGCUGUAUGAACUGGGGGGAAAUACAUUACCACAUUACCCCAGACCAGUGAUCUCAGUUCUAACUGGUUUUGGAAAAAUGUCAAAUUGCUUGAUAUUGCAAAAUUCCCUGAUGAAUAAAACUGCAUAACAAAAAGUCAAA
This is a long non-coding RNA of Lates calcarifer (barramundi perch), 436 nucleotides long. RefSeq lists it as uncharacterized. The record is from RefSeq and is a predicted model, not a curated record. Lineage: Eukaryota; Metazoa; Chordata; Actinopteri; Centropomidae. The transcript has 4 exons.